CUGCUCCUGAGGGGCCGCAGCCUGUGGGCAGCGUGGAGGAGCCCCACGGGGAACCUCCAGCAGUACUGAGGAGUGCUGACUCCAGAAAUGGAUAGUGAACCCCUUGGGAAUCAGUUUCAUACCAGGAAGCUCCAUCAAGGAUGUGAAGAAGAUGAAUAAGAUGCUGUGCUGUGUUGCUGAUUAGAUAAAAGUUACUCAAGACUUGAAUAUUGGAAAAAGCCCAGUCUGACAGCCAAAAAGCCAUAAAGCAAGUGCUGUAGUCACACCUCGGGUCAUCCUGCUCUGGGGUGUGACCCACUCCUGUCGCAGGCCGAAGUGACAGAGCCAGCAGAAAUACUGAUGUGCUUUGGUAAUAUGAAAGAAGAUAGUACACAAAUCAAUACUUCCCAUUCCACAAGUUCCAUUACAUCUAAUUUCAAGCAUCUGUGACAUAGAAAUUGUUUGUGUCAGAGAGGAAUAGAAGGAAAAACAGCUAUCAGCACCACAACACUGAGAACUGAGAAUGUGGUCUCUGAUGAAACAUACUGAAAGGCCAUUUCACAGAGACGCUGCCAAUGGAUUUUUAAUGCCACCAUUGCUGCCAAAGUACACUGCAACCCAUCAACUUAUUUCAUAUUGAGUUGUCUGUAGACCCAGUGUGGUAUGCCAGAUAUGAUUCAGCUGACUACAUUCACGUAACAUUAAAUGUAUGUGUUUUCAACAGAAUAAAAAUAAAAU
This is a non-coding RNA of Cyanistes caeruleus (blue tit), 717 nucleotides long. Lineage: Eukaryota; Metazoa; Chordata; Aves; Passeriformes; Paridae. The record is from RefSeq and is a predicted model, not a curated record.